This 400-nucleotide unclassified non-coding RNA is filed under the name soil metagenome. RNAcentral's name for it is "partial contains 5.8S ribosomal RNA, internal transcribed spacer 2, and large subunit ribosomal RNA". The stretch from base 1 to 122 matches the Rfam family "5.8S ribosomal RNA", at positions 35 to 154 of the family's 154-position model. The record is from RNAcentral.
GAUGAAGAACGUAGCGAAAUGCGAUACUUGGUGUGAAUUGCAGAAUCCCGUGAACCAUCGAGUCUUUGAACGCAAGUUGCGCCUCAAGCCAUUAGGUUGAGGGCACGUCUGCCUGGGCGUCACAUAUCGUUGCCUGAUGCCAGUUUCCUCGUGAUGGGUGACUGUGCAGGGCGAAUGAUGGCUUCCCGUGAGCAUUGUUGCCUCAUGGUUGGUUGAAAAUUGAGUCCUUGGUAGGGAGCGCCGUGAUAGAUGGUGGUUGAGUGACGAACGAGACCCAAUCAUGUGAGUCCACUACCGAAUUUGGCCUUCAUGACCCACAUGCGUCUUUGGAACGCUCAUGACGAGACCUCAGGUCAGGCGGGGCUACCCGCUGAGUUUAAGCAUAUCAAUAAGCGGAUGA